AAAGUUUGAUCCUGGCUCAGGACGAACGCUGGCGGCGUGCCUAAUACAUGCAAGUAGAACGCUGAAGAGAGGAGCUUGCUCUUCUUGGAUGAGUUGCGAACGGGUGAGUAACGCGUAGGUAACCUGCCUUGUAGCGGGGGAUAACUAUUGGAAACGAUAGCUAAUACCGCAUAACAAUGGAUGACACAUGUCAUUUAUUUGAAAGGGGCAAUUGUUCCACUACAAGAUGGACCUGCGUUGUAUUAGCUAGUAGGUGAGGUAAUGGCUCACCUAGGCGACGAUACAUAGCCGACCUGAGAGGGUGAUCGGCCACACUGGGACUGAGACACGGCCCAGACUCCUACGGGAGGCAGCAGUAGGGAAUCUUCGGCAAUGGGGGCAACCCUGACCGAGCAACGCCGCGUGAGUGAAGAAGGUUUUCGGAUCGUAAAGCUCUGUUGUAAGUCAAGAACGGGUGUGAGAGUGGAAAGUUCACACUGUGACGGUAGCUUACCAGAAAGGGACGGCUAACUACGUGCCAGCAGCCGCGGUAAUACGUAGGUCCCGAGCGUUGUCCGGAUUUAUUGGGCGUAAAGCGAGCGCAGGCGGUUUGAUAAGUCUGAAGUUAAAGGCUGUGGCUCAACCAUAGUUCGCUUUGGAAACUGUCAAACUUGAGUGCAGAAGGGGAGAGUGGAAUUCCAUGUGUAGCGGUGAAAUGCGUAGAUAUAUGGAGGAACACCGGUGGCGAAAGCGGCUCUCUGGUCUGUAACUGACGCUGAGGCUCGAAAGCGUGGGGAGCGAACAGGAUUAGAUACCCUGGUAGUCCACGCCGUAAACGAUGAGUGCUAGGUGUUGGAUCCUUUCCGGGAUUCAGUGCCGCAGCUAACGCAUUAAGCACUCCGCCUGGGGAGUACGACCGCAAGGUUGAAACUCAAAGGAAUUGACGGGGGCCCGCACAAGCGGUGGAGCAUGUGGUUUAAUUCGAAGCAACGCGAAGAACCUUACCAGGUCUUGACAUCCCGAUGCUAUUUCUAGAGAUAGAAAGUUACUUCGGUACAUCGGUGACAGGUGGUGCAUGGUUGUCGUCAGCUCGUGUCGUGAGAUGUUGGGUUAAGUCCCGCAACGAGCGCAACCCCUAUUGUUAGUUGCCAUCAUUCAGUUGGGCACUCUAGCGAGACUGCCGGUAAUAAACCGGAGGAAGGUGGGGAUGACGUCAAAUCAUCAUGCCCCUUAUGACCUGGGCUACACACGUGCUACAAUGGUUGGUACAACGAGUUGCGAGUCGGUGACGGCGAGCUAAUCUCUUAAAGCCAAUCUCAGUUCGGAUUGUAGGCUGCAACUCGCCUACAUGAAGUCGGAAUCGCUAGUAAUCGCGGAUCAGCACGCCGCGGUGAAUACGUUCCCGGGCCUUGUACACACCGCCCGUCACACCACGAGAGUUUGUAACACCCGAAGUCGGUGAGGUAACCUUUUGGAGCCAGCCGCCUAAGGUGGGACAGAUGAUUGGGGUGAAGUCGUAACAAGGUA
RNAcentral lists this ribosomal RNA (1506 nucleotides) under metagenome. Its description in RNAcentral is "bacterial SSU rRNA". It matches the Rfam family "Bacterial small subunit ribosomal RNA". The record is from RNAcentral.